Molecule: long non-coding RNA, 1466 nt
Organism: Rhagoletis pomonella (apple maggot)
Lineage: Eukaryota; Metazoa; Arthropoda; Insecta; Diptera; Tephritidae
Exons: 2
Source: RefSeq, a predicted model, not a curated record
CGCAAGCAGACGAACCAACAGAAAUUAUGGGGUGGAAAUGCGAAUGACGCUGACGAGGCGUAGGCAGACAGCGACAACGAAAGUCAACGUCGAGCUAGCGUUAGCAUUUGGGCAGGCACUGCUUGGAUAGUUGGUGCCAACUACAUGAAUAAGAGUAGGGCCCAACGAGGCACAGAAGCGAGGAGUCGGAGAAGUGCAACAACCAACAUCAAUAGGCGGCGAAUGGAUGAUGGAAGAGAAGGAAAAGAGGUUUGAAAUUGGCUGGAAUGAAGGGCAAACGGCUGGGUUAGAAAUUGGAGUGCUUUGAGGGAAUAAGCGCGCUGCCAGAGGUUAAAAAAUGGAGAAUGGGGGGAUGAUUGGCUAAACGGCAAACAAUUAGAAGACAGCAACAGUGGAGAAAUAGGACACGUUUGAGGUUCACACAAGUGAACGCAUACACAUGAGUUUGUAAAGGAAGUAAAGGAAAGGAGGGUAUUUAAGCUGUUGGACUCGAGUACGGUCAGACCUGCAACGCUACAUACGGACACAGAUGCUCAUAUAAACUCACAUACUUAUGGGACGCAAGGUUCGUUAAUACAUAUUGCACGAAUAUAUCUACUUAAGUACACAUACAGAAAUUGUGGCUAUGCACGCCAGCGGGUGGUACGAGCAUGCAUGUAGUUCUGCGAAGGACAGCGAUAGUUGGGUCAACAUUAGGAACGACAAUCAAGCGAGUGUUCAAAGCAGAGUAAUAUGUAGCGGUGAAACGAAUUCACAAACGGACGCUUAGUGGGCAACCCUCUUGGAUGUGUAUGGCGAAAAUUGCAUCUGUGUGCAUUUUAUUUUAUCGUCGGCUGCUGCUGUGGAUGCCACACUUUUUAAUGGCCAGUCGACAGACAGCAGCGGCUUGAAUGCAUCGCCAUUGGGGAGGAUUGACAAUGGCUUUUUUAUGGGUUUGUAUGUAUGUAUGUAUGCAUGUGGGUUGCAGCUGUCACAGAAAAGCCGUAAAGCAAAGCAGACAGUCAAAAGUAACUUUGCACAUGGACACAACCGCAUACAUACAAAUGCAUUACAGUGUUGCGAUGUUUGCUGUGGCCAGGGAAGAGAAGGUAGCGACGCAGAAGCAACAAGCUAUUUCCGCCAAAGCGUUGGCGUUGGAGUGGUAGAAUGUAGUAGAAUAUCUGUGCCCAUACAUAUGUAUUUACAAGAGGGCGAAUAUGAGACGAAACAGAGGUGGAAAAUAUGCGCAUUGCACGCAACCGGGCUUAACUCCAGGCUAUUCUAGAUACAUACAAACGUGUGUUUUUAUGUACUUGUGUAUGGCUGGGUUGGCUGGCGCGUUUGAAAUGGGCAAACAACCGACAGCCGACAGGUAGAAUAGCGCGCCACGCAGCACAGCGACUUAGCAGGCGAACAAAUUAAGGUGUUAAAUAAAUUUUGGUAUUUCUAAGAACCCAAUUUUGUGAAAAUUUGUAGCAAACGCUGUU